AGGAUGAACGCUGGCGGCGUGCUUAAUACAUGCAAGUCGAGCGGUAAGGCCCCUUCGGGGGUACACGAGCGGCGGACGGCUGAGUAACGCGUGGGAACGUACCCCAAAGUGAGGGAUAAGCACCAGAAAUGGUGUCUAAUACCGCAUGUGCUCUAAGGAGUAAAGCUCCGGCGCUUUGGGAACGGCCUGCGUUCGAUUAGCUUGUUGGUGAGGUAAUGGCUCACCAAGGCGACGAUCGAUAGCUGGUCUGAGAGGAUGACCAGCCAGACUGGGACUGAGAACGGCCCAGACUCCUACGGGAGGCAGCAGUAGGGAAUUUUCCACAAUGGAC
This 331-nucleotide ribosomal RNA is filed under the name uncultured bacterium. RNAcentral describes it as "SSU rRNA". It matches the Rfam family "Bacterial small subunit ribosomal RNA", at positions 26 to 376 of the family's 1533-position model. The record is from RNAcentral.